This 703-nucleotide long non-coding RNA is filed under the name Olea europaea (common olive). Its description in RNAcentral is "long non-coding RNA (OEUR_LNC001790)". The record is from RNAcentral. Lineage: Eukaryota; Viridiplantae; Streptophyta; Magnoliopsida; Lamiales; Oleaceae.
UCACAUUUGUAAUAUACAUCUGACCAUCCAAUUUUCCACAAGAAAGGAACCGAAUAAUAAAUAAUCAAAGGAAAGGAACAUCAAAGUAGGUAAGUUCUUCGAUAAGCAAAAUUAUAAAUAUAAUCUACAAUCACGAGAGUUUCCAUUAACGAUCAACAACUCAACAAAUAGAAAUCAAUGAAUAGACUAAGAUCCCUUUAUAAGGCUUUGUUACUCCAGCCUAAUACCAGAAGGCAUUAUAAUUCCACAAGAUCUAAAAUAUAAAUUGGACAAAGUGAAGCAUGAAAUUUCUCAACAUAUUGUAAUUUUUCCAAGCCAUAAAGUAUUUAACAUUUAGGAUGCGUUUGAUUGUAAGCCAAUUACAAUCAGAUGUGGUCUUAUCUUUGGAUAGUUUUUCAUCAGAGUUAUCUGAUGAGUUCACAUCAGCAACCAUCGGCGCCGAUCUCUGAGUAUUAUCGUUUAUCAUCCGAAUAAUUACAAUCCUUCUCUUAAGUAGGCUCAUUUACACACUUUCUGCAUUCCAUACGAAUUUCUAUCAGAGUUAUUUGGUGAAAUCACAUCAGCAACUCCAGCGUCAAUCUCUGAGUAUUAUCGUUUACCAUCCGAAUAAUUACAAUCCUUCUGUUAAGUAGGCUUAUUUACACACUUUCUGCAUUCCAUACGAAUUCCCUCGAUAAAUCGCUCACUUGACCAUCGGGAGCCU